This 609-nucleotide ribosomal RNA is filed under the name Nitrososphaerota archaeon. Its description in RNAcentral is "partial 23S ribosomal RNA". It matches the Rfam family "Archaeal large subunit ribosomal RNA", at positions 2542 to 2987 of the family's 2987-position model. The record is from RNAcentral. Lineage: Archaea; Thermoproteati; Nitrososphaerota.
GGCCACGCGGCUAGCUCGAGAUCCCGCAAGGGACACAUCGCGUUCCGACGCGAUGCGACAUGGGCGCAAGCCCGCUCGGGUGUGCCACACAAGAAACGCGGCCAUCAUACGCCGACCCCACGAGUGCUCGUGGGUGAAGACAUAGUCUAACUCCGGGCGUAAGCCUGGGUAUAGUUGCGAUGUCGGCUCUUCCCAUCCUGGUCCUGCAGCAGGGGCCAAGGGUGGGGCUGCUCGCCCAUCAAAGGGGAACGUGAGCUGGGUUUAGACCGUCGUGAGACAGGUCGGCCUCUACCUGAUGGAAGCGGUGGUUCACUGAGGGGAAGCCCUGCCCAGUACGAGAGGAACAGCGGGGCGUUGCCUCUGGCGUACCGGUCGUCCGAGAGGGCGUCGCCGGGCAGCUAAGCAAUUGUGGAUAACCGCUGAAAGCAUCUAAGCGGGAAGCCACUCCCGAGAAGAGUGAGCCUUGGACCCAAGCUACCUCCGCAAGGGGGUGGGGCGGGUCCAGAAGGGCGGCCAUAGAAGAUGGCGUUGAAAUGGUGGGGGUGUACGCUGGAAGCUUCGGCGACCAGUUCAGCCCGUCCACUAAUUACAGCCCAACGCUUGGAUGAG